RNAcentral lists this ribosomal RNA (332 nucleotides) under uncultured low G+C Gram-positive bacterium 78ev. RNAcentral describes it as "bacterial SSU rRNA". It matches the Rfam family "Bacterial small subunit ribosomal RNA", at positions 9 to 327 of the family's 1533-position model. The record is from RNAcentral. Lineage: Bacteria; Bacillati; Bacillota.
GAGUUUGAUCCUGGCUCAGGACGAACGCUAGAGGCGUGCCUAACACAUGCAAGUCGAGCGAGGAGACUUCGGUCUCUAGCGGCGGACGGGUGAGUAACACGUGGGUAACCUGCCUCGUAGUGGGGGAUAGCCUUCCGAAAGGAAGAUUAAUACCGCAUAACAUAGUUUAGCCGCAUGGCUGAAUUAUCAAAGGAGUCUUAUCAAUUUAUUGAUAAGCAUCCGCUAUGAGAUGGACCCGCGGCGCAUUAGCUAGUUGGUGAGGUAACGGCUCACCAAGGCGACGAUGCGUAGCCGACCUGAGAGGGUGAUCGGCCACAUUGGAACUGAGAUAC